AUGCGAUAAGUAAUGUGAAUUGCAGAUACAGUGAAUCAUCGAAUCUUUGAACGCAAAUGGCACUCUAUGGUAUUCCGUAGAGUACGUCUGUUUGAGCGUCGCGAAUGUCUCCACUAAUGAUUUUUUUUUUGAAAGUCAUUUUUGGGUUUUGAGGUUGUCUUUUAAUAAAAGACCUCCUUCAAGUAAAUUAGUAAUGACCUUAUGAAGGGUUAAUACUGUGUGUUAUAGUGGAUCUUAUCCAUCACCAGUCAGAGACCUAGUCUCGCCUUAGUAAGGUUGUUUGCUUCAAACAGUCCUUUUUUUGGACAAACAUUUUCAUAUCAUGACCUCAAAUCAGAUGGGACUACCCGCUGAACUUAA
This 360-nucleotide unclassified non-coding RNA is filed under the name uncultured Wallemia. RNAcentral's name for it is "partial contains 5.8S ribosomal RNA, internal transcribed spacer 2, and large subunit ribosomal RNA". The stretch from base 1 to 101 matches the Rfam family "5.8S ribosomal RNA", at positions 53 to 154 of the family's 154-position model. The record is from RNAcentral. Lineage: Eukaryota; Fungi; Basidiomycota; Wallemiomycetes; Wallemiales; Wallemiaceae.